This 998-nucleotide ribosomal RNA is filed under the name Capnocytophaga canimorsus. Its description in RNAcentral is "bacterial SSU rRNA". It matches the Rfam family "Bacterial small subunit ribosomal RNA", at positions 34 to 1036 of the family's 1533-position model. Lineage: Bacteria; Pseudomonadati; Bacteroidota; Flavobacteriia; Flavobacteriales; Flavobacteriaceae. The record is from RNAcentral.
CGCUAGCGGCAGGCUAACACAUGCAAGUCGAGGGGUAGGGUGCUUCGGCACUUGAGACCGGCGCACGGGUGCGUAACACGUGUACAAUCUACCUUUUGCUAAGGGAUAGCCCGAAGAAAUUUGGAUUAAUACCUUAUAGUAUUGUUUGGUGGCAUCACUGAAUAAUUAAAGCUCUGGUGGCAAAAGAUGAGUACGCGUCCCAUUAGCUAGUUGGUGUGGUAACGGCAUACCAAGGCUACGAUGGGUAGGGGUCCUGAGAGGGAGGUCCCCCACACUGGUACUGAGACACGGACCAGACUCCUACGGGAGGCAGCAGUGAGGAAUAUUGGACAAUGGUCGGAAGACUGAUCCAGCCAUGCCGCGUGCAGGAUGACGGCCUUAUGGGUUGUAAACUGCUUUUAUACAGGAAGAAUAAGGUCUACGCGUAGAUUGAUGACGGUACUGUAUGAAUAAGCAUCGGCUAACUCCGUGCCAGCAGCCGCGGUAAUACGGAGGAUGCGAGCGUUAUCCGGAAUCAUUGGGUUUAAAGGGUCCGUAGGCGGGCUUAUAAGUCAGAGGUGAAAGCACUGAGCUCAACUGAGUAACUGCCUUUGAAACUGUAGGUCUUGAAUGUUUGUGAAGUAGCUGGAAUGUGUAGUGUAGCGGUGAAAUGCAUAGAUAUUACACAGAACACCGAUUGCGAAGGCAUGUUACUAACAAAUUAUUGACGCUGAUGGACGAAAGCGUGGGGAGCGAACAGGAUUAGAUACCCUGGUAGUCCACGCUGUAAACGAUGGAUACUAGCUGUUUGGAAGUAAUUUUGAGUGGCUAAGCGAAAGUGAUAAGUAUCCCACCUGGGGAGUACGCACGCAAGUGUGAAACUCAAAGGAAUUGACGGGGGCCCGCACAAGCGGUGGAGCAUGUGGGUUUAAUUCGAUGAUACGCGAGGAAACCUUACCAAGGUUUAAAUGGGAAACGACGUAUCUAGAGAUAGAUAUUUUCUUCGGACGGUUUUUCAA